This 1641-nucleotide ribosomal RNA is filed under the name Enterococcus faecium. RNAcentral's name for it is "bacterial LSU rRNA". It matches the Rfam family "Bacterial large subunit ribosomal RNA", at positions 1278 to 2925 of the family's 2925-position model. The record is from RNAcentral. Lineage: Bacteria; Bacillati; Bacillota; Bacilli; Lactobacillales; Enterococcaceae.
GCGCUUAGAAGUGAGAAUGCCGGUAUGAGUAGCGAAAGACAGGUGAGAAUCCUGUCCACCGAAUGACUAAGGUUUCCUGGGGAAGGCUCGUCCGCCCAGGGUUAGUCGGGACCUAAGCCGAGGCCGAUAGGCGUAGGCGAUGGAUAACAGGUUGAUAUUCCUGUACCCGUUGUUUUUGUUUGAGCAAUGGAGGGACGCAGGAGGCUAAGGAAUCAGACGAUUGGAAAUGUCUGUCCAAGCAAUAAGUCUUGAUGUGAGUCAAAUGCUUACGUCUUUAAGGACAAGUUGUGAUGGGGAGGGAAAUAAUAGUACCGAAGUUCCUGAUGUCACACUGCCGAGAAAAGCUUCUAGUGAGAAAACAAUGGCCCGUACCGCAAACCGACACAGGUAGUCGAGGAGAGAAUCCUAAGGUGAGCGAGAGAACUCUCGUUAAGGAACUCGGCAAAAUGACCCCGUAACUUCGGGAGAAGGGGUGCUGAUCUAACGAUCAGCCGCAGUGAAUAGGCCCAAGCGACUGUUUAUCAAAAACACAGGUCUCUGCAAAAUCGAAAGAUGACGUAUAGGGGCUGACGCCUGCCCGGUGCUGGAAGGUUAAGAGGAGUGCUUAGCGCAAGCGAAGGUACGAAUUGAAGCCCCAGUAAACGGCGGCCGUAACUAUAACGGUCCUAAGGUAGCGAAAUUCCUUGUCGGGUAAGUUCCGACCCGCACGAAAGGCGUAACGAUUUGGGCACUGUCUCAACGAGAGACUCGGUGAAAUUUUAGUACCUGUGAAGAUGCAGGUUACCCGCGACAGGACGGAAAGACCCCAUGGAGCUUUACUGCAGUUUGUUAUUGAGCGUUUGAACCACUUGUACAGGAUCGGUAGGAGCCGUAGAAGCCGGGACGCUAGUAUCGACAGAGGCCACGGCCGGCUACUCCCCAUGUGUUAUGACCACCCAAACCCGCACCACUGAUCGUGGCGAGAGACCGUGACAGAUGGGCAGUUUGACUGGGGCGGUCGCCUCCUAAAGAGUAACGGAGGCGCCCAAAGGUUCCCUCAGAAUGGUUGGAAAUCAUUCGCAGAGUGUAAAGGCACAAGGGAGCUUGACUGCGAGACCUACAAGUCGAGCAGGGACGAAAGUCGGGCUUAGUGAUCCGGUGGUUCCGCAUGGAAGGGCCAUCGCUCAACGGAUAAAAGCUACCCUGGGGAUAACAGGCUUAUCUCCCCCAAGAGUCCACAUCGACGGGGAGGUUUGGCACCUCGAUGUCGGCUCGUCGCAUCCUGGGGCUGUAGUCGGUCCCAAGGGUUGGGCUGUUCGCCCAUUAAAGCGGCACGCGAGCUGGGUUCAGAACGUCGUGAGACAGUUCGGUCCCUAUCCGUCGCGGGCGUUGGAAAUUUGAGAGGAUCUGUCCUUAGUACGAGAGGACCGGGAUGGACUUACCGCUGGUGUACCAGUUGUCUCGCCAGAGGCAUCGCUGGGUAGCUAUGUAGGGAAGGGAUAAACGCUGAAAGCAUCUAAGUGUGAAGCCCACCUCAAGAUGAGAUUUCCCAUUUCUUUAAGAAAGUAAGAUCCCUGAGAGAUGAUCAGGUAGAUAGGUCAGAAGUGGAAGUGCAGUGAUGUACGGAGCGGACUGAUACUAAUCGAUCGAGGACUUAACCAA